This 21-nucleotide non-coding RNA is filed under the name Caenorhabditis elegans. Lineage: Eukaryota; Metazoa; Nematoda; Chromadorea; Rhabditida; Rhabditidae. The record is from RNAcentral.
UCCAUUUUCUUAAACGAAAAA